UGGGGGAUAUUGCACAAUGGGCGAAAGCCUGAUGCAGCGACGCCGCGUGGGGGAUGAAGGCCUUCGGGUUGUAAUCUUCUUUUGCUCUGAACAAGGCAUGCCUUUGGGGUGUGUUGAGUGUAGGGGUUGAUUAGCGCCGGCUAACUACGUGCCAGCAGCCGCGGUAAUACGUAGGGCGCGAGCGUUGUCCGGAAUUAUUGGGCGUAAAGGGCUUGUAGGUGGCUGGUUGCGUCUGUCGUGAAAGCUCAUGGCUUAACUGUGGGUUUGCGGUGGGUACGGGCUGGCUUGAGUGCAGUAGGGGAGGCUGGAAUUCCUGGUGUAGCGGUGGAAUGCGCAGAUAUCAGGAGGAAUACCGGUGGCGAAGGCGGGUCUCUGGGCUGUUACUGACGCUGAGGAGCGAAAGCGUGGGGAGCGAACAGG
Molecule: ribosomal RNA, 420 nt
Filed under: Fusobacteriota bacterium
Lineage: Bacteria; Fusobacteriati; Fusobacteriota
Description: Fusobacteria bacterium partial 16S ribosomal RNA
Rfam family: Bacterial small subunit ribosomal RNA
Source: RNAcentral